UUUUGUUUAAUUUGUUUAGGCUUUUGGUUUUUUGUCUGUUUUUUUUUUCUACCUUCACCGUUGUCUUUUUAUCGACACCAUACAGAUUGAAAUAAUGUACAACCCUGCCAACUCGAUUUGUCAUGGAACCUGUGAAACAGAUAGGGAGUUUGAGUGGCUGAAUGAAUGAAAAUUGCUCUAGAAGGGAACUGUUUGAGUUUGAGUUUCUCUGCAGCCCUCCAAUGAACUUUACUAAGGUUAAAAUCAGUUUAUGGCCAAUUGUUGCAUUUCCACUCAUCUCGGAACUGAACGAAUCUGACUGAAGAGCUUGUGGGUCCGACAACCAGGGUCGCGAAACUAAUUUGAAUUGCAAAUUAUGUUCCUAUUCAAUAUUCAUAUUUGUUGCCAGUCUUGCACGUGGAAGGAUUUUGAAAACUGCAAGCCAGAAAUCGUGGGGUCUUGUUUAGCUUCACUGGGGUAAAGAAGCAUUUAAUUUUCGGCGUUAUUCUCUUCGAAGUCGUCAGUUUUGAGGACGAUCGUCGACGUCUGUUUCUUCGGGAUUGCUGAAUGGAUUUGUUUGGAUUCGACGUCGAGGAGUGAUGGAUGUCACUUUAUCACGAAUUUUCGUCAAGCGUCAAGCAUGAGAUGGAAUGACCUGGCGGUCAAAAACUGCAUGGGACGAAAGCAAAAUGGACAGCAUCUUCAAGAUGGACUGGUGAACACCCUAAGCAAGAAAGACUAAUUACUCAGGUACAAAGCAGAUAAAGGACAUUCCUCUCCAGAUCACAACGAGUACCAACCAGAAAUUGAAAAGGCUUGAGGCCAAACGUAUUUAUUUCGCGAUUUUGUUAGACAUUGUAAUCGAAUUUAUUUAGACCUUUUCAACGAGUUAACUUUUCCUGCCAAAAAAAAUCAGGCGCUCUCAAUACGUAUGCACCAUUUUUUUUUUCUUUAUUGAUUCUGUAAGUAACAUCUGUUCAACUGUGGCGGAUUUUCCCGCCAAAAGACUUAGAAAAAAUACGGUGCUCAA
Pocillopora damicornis (cauliflower coral) is the source of this 1009-nucleotide long non-coding RNA. The record is from RefSeq and is a predicted model, not a curated record. Lineage: Eukaryota; Metazoa; Cnidaria; Anthozoa; Scleractinia; Pocilloporidae.